UAAGGGGUCUCCAUCUUUGGUGUCAUCCCUCCUCGGGGGCCGGUGGCCCUCCGGGCAGAGGAGGAGGGGGCUAUUAAUUAAAGGCAGUGAGCGAUGCACCGACACAGCAGGACCCAACCACAAUGCUCUGAUUAACAAAACCCCAGAACACUUCUGCAAACUUCGCUUUGAUUUCACUUGGCUGGGAGUUGGAAUGGGGAACGAUGCAGUUGAAAGAAAGGGAGCCAGCGAGCGAGAGAAAGAGAGAGAUGUUUAUGCAGUAAAAAAGAUGCAGCAGGAGGCUGGAUUCCAUAUGCCAGGCCUACGCCUCUAUAUUACAGGAUAAAGCAGCAGAAGAAUGGAGGACAGCUUCUGCUCAUAACGAGGUGGAUCAGAUACAGAAGGCUGGAUGACUGACAGGCUUGUAAUGUUAAAGACCGCAUUGUGUGGGAUCGUUUUAUUUCUUUGUAGAUUGUGUUAUGUGCUUUUAUAUACAGUAUAGCUAUAAAAUACAACAUUUUUCUUUCUAUCUAGUCACUAUUUUAGAUGGUUGGUGUAGUGCAGUGGAUAACACCACCGCCUGUCCGUGAGAAUUGAAUGACUGAAAUAAAUAAACAUGUUAAUGAUAUAA
This is a long non-coding RNA of Astyanax mexicanus (Mexican tetra), 610 nucleotides long. RefSeq lists it as uncharacterized. Lineage: Eukaryota; Metazoa; Chordata; Actinopteri; Characiformes; Acestrorhamphidae. The record is from RefSeq and is a predicted model, not a curated record. The transcript has 2 exons.